RNAcentral lists this transfer RNA (88 nucleotides) under bacterium. Its description in RNAcentral is "tRNA-Ser". It matches the Rfam family "tRNA". Rfam says of the family: Transfer RNA (tRNA) molecules are approximately 80 nucleotides in length. Their secondary structure includes four short double-helical elements and three loops (D, anti-codon, and T loops). RNAcentral also lists the same sequence under 1 other name. The record is from RNAcentral.
GGAGAGAUGGCAGAGUGGUUGAAUGCGGCGGUCUCGAAAACCGUUGUACGUUUAUAGCGUACCGGGGGUUCGAAUCCCCCUCUCUCCG